GUUAGGAAUCUUCCACAAUGGGGGCAACCCUGAUGGAGCAACACCGCGUGCUGGAUGAAGGCCUUCGGGUCGUAAACAGCUUUUGUAUACGAAGAAUAUGACGGUAAUAUACGAAUAAGGGUCGGCUAACUACGUGCCAGCAGCCGCGGUCAUACGUAGGACCCAAGCGUUAUCCGGAGUGACUGGGCGUAAAGAGUUGCGUAGGCGGCUUAUUAAGCGAGUAGUGAAAUCUGGUGGCUCAACCAUCAACACAUUGCUCGAACUGAUAGGCUUGAGAAUGGUAGAGGUAGUUGGAAUUUCUUGUGUAGGAGUGAAAUCCGUAGAUAUAAGAAGGAACACCAAUGGCGUAGGCAGACUACUGGACCAUUUCUGACGCUGAGGCACGAAAGCGUGGGGAGCGAACCGGAUUAGAUACCCGAGUAGUCC
This 426-nucleotide ribosomal RNA is filed under the name uncultured bacterium. RNAcentral's name for it is "partial 16S ribosomal RNA". It matches the Rfam family "Bacterial small subunit ribosomal RNA", at positions 354 to 796 of the family's 1533-position model. The record is from RNAcentral.